RNAcentral lists this unclassified non-coding RNA (228 nucleotides) under plant metagenome. RNAcentral's name for it is "partial contains small subunit ribosomal RNA, internal transcribed spacer 1, and 5.8S ribosomal RNA". The record is from RNAcentral.
UCUCCGUAGGUGAACCAGCGGAGGGAUCAUUACCGAGUUAUCAACUCUCAAACCCCUGUGAACAGACCCGAACGUUGCCUCGGCGGGACGGCCCCGGCGCCCAUCUCGAGGCCCGGAACCAGGCGUCCGCCGCAGGACCCAAUCUCUAGCUUUGAACAGUGGCAUAGUCUCUGAGUCUCAUAAACAAAAAAUGAAUCAAAACUUUCAACAACGGAUCUCUUGGCUCUG